Molecule: long non-coding RNA, 2889 nt
Filed under: Helianthus annuus (common sunflower)
Lineage: Eukaryota; Viridiplantae; Streptophyta; Magnoliopsida; Asterales; Asteraceae
Source: RNAcentral
AUUUUGUCCGCCGCUCAUCUUCUCAUCCUCUCUCUCUAUGGCGAUUCCUGGCGAUUCAUCAGGCCUCUCUCUCGGAUCUCGCCAGAUCUCUCACCAGAUCUAUGAGGAUUUCACCAGAUCGAUGAAGUUUUUUCAGGUUUCAAUAGAUAGGGUUUUGAUCGAUUGGUAGAUCCUUUGUAAUAAUCUAUUUACCAAGCCCAAUAUUGGUCCGCAAAUUAAUGCAUCAACAGUUGGGAAAGCUCUGGUUGUGGAUAUCUGUUGGAGCACUCCUUGGGUUUUUGAUUAUCUUCAACAUAUUCUUUAUCGUAGCACUAACUUCCCUGAAUCCCCCGGUGUGAUGCUAAACCUGUGAUCAGAGAGGAAAAUGAUAUAAAGAAUUCAAAAAAUAACAGCUUACAGUAGGCUCAGCUGGGAUGGUCAAUCACAUGAGCUUUGGUGGACUUCCCGUGAAAACUGAGACAGCUGAAGAAGCUGAUGAACUUAUGAGAGUAGAUGAAAAGGCAUCUGAAGUUGAGGUAGAAGUUCUUUCAGCCCCUCCAAAGUUAGUUUACUGUAAAUUAAUCUUGCGCUUCACUAGAAAGCUAUUGGUGGCUGUAGCAGACAAGUGGGAUAGUCAUGUUCUGGUCAUGGACAAAGUUGCUCCACAAAACUGGAAGGGAGCUUCAAACUGCUUUAGGCACAACAAAGUGGCAGAGACAAGAAAAAGUGUGUUUGUGAGAGAGAGAGAGAGAGCGACGGGAAGGAGAGUCCUUGGAGAAGGUAGAGGUGGCAAAGGGAACUAGGGUUCUAGCGACGAAUGUCUAUCUAGGUACUCAUUGAGAGUUUGAGACCUCGAAUCCAUCUAUUGCUUAACGAAUCAGGGAUAAUCUUGACAGGUUAUAAAGCUGGAGCCUCAUAUACGGAUGAAUGGGUCAAACGGUUCAAACUGGCUACAUACGCAAGUUUUGAGGGGACGGGAUGACGGUGGUCAGGCAUCACUCUGGAGCAUAUUUCCAAAAGCAGUUGUCUAUUGUCAUGUUAAAGAGGCCAAGCAAAAUGUAUCAAGUUAAUUUGGCACACAAAGCGGAAGGAGGGAGCCUAAUGACUUCAAGAACUCCAACACAAACCAUGCUGAAUAUCGAAAUGAAGAGGCCAGUCCUGAUUCGUUGAAGCUGGGUCAACCCAUUUUAUUGACCUGUGAGUCUCCUGGCCACGCGAACUAUAACACGGUCGUAUACAGGGACCCAGAAUACUACGCUUAUAGUGUCGAAAAUCCCGAGUGAAGCUGGUGGAAUCUCGAAUAGGUUACUCAUUUGUGAGUAAACUGUGGCGAACAUGAUACCCGUGGCCCAAUAUUGGAAGCAACCGUAACACUGCUUUCAGUUCCUCAACCUGACUCACUGAGCAAAGCCUCCAUGGGUCUAUCGACCCGUUUGUAUGAUCCGUGGGUGCAACCACAGCUGCCUUAUCCAAAAAACUCCACUGGUGUUUCUAAGACUACACAAGGGUAAGGAAUGGUAACUCACACAAACAUGGAAGCUUGUGGAUGAAUAUUCUGAUGAUGUAGUCCUUGCCUCCUUGGCUUGGCUCUAAACCCAUCAAGAAUGCGACACCAUUCAAGGGAGGUAGAUUGCACACAAAUGGAAGAGUGAAAAUCGGUCACAACUCAACAUCUUGUAAUGAUGGCCAAAGGACAAUCGGCAUCAUAGACUGGAUGAGAUUUUUUUCUUUCUAUUUUUACUUUAAUUUGGUCCGUCUUUGGGUUUUUAACAACUAAACUUGGACUGUCUUUUGGUUUGUUUAACUUUCUAUUUAAGUUUGAUAUUAUGUGGUAUUUCGACUUUUGAGCGGAGAAAGAAAUAGUUGUUUGGUUUACAUACGAACUGAUUCAGAAAUGGUUGCUUUAUUUUAGUUUAGUGCUGAUGUUCAUUUUGGGUAAUUAACAAUAAGUAUGAAAAUACUUGCAGAUGUUGAUCGUUGUGAUCAAUUUGAAGUUUGUUUUUAUUAUUGCCAUUCCAUAAUGAUGAUUAUAGAAUCAAGUUACAAAAAAGUAGGUUGGCUAAUCACUGUAUUUUGGUUAACUGUUGCAUUUCAGUUUGAUGCUGCUGGUGUUUUUCGUUUAUCCUUUAUUGCCUGCGAGAUCUCAAAAAACAUGCUGGAAAUAUUAUUGCAGUUAUUAUUGUUAUUUAAUAUGAAGUUUGUCUAUAAUAUUGACAUAAUAUGAAGUGGGUUAGUAUGAUGGUGAGAUGGCCUUUAUUAUUGCGUUUUUUAUGUAGUUUUCUACUCUCAAAAUGAUAAUUGUUUAGUUGAGACGGCCUUUAUUAUUGCCAUCUUAAAUUAUUCAUAUUAUCUAUUGAAAAACCAGGAUUUUUAAUGGGUUGUCAUGUGCUCAAAUUUAGAUCUUAAUCUGUUGGCCAUUGUGUUGGUGGAAUUUAUAAGUAGAAAGUGACAUUGUAGUUGCUGAUGUCUUCGAUCAAUAAUAAAGUUUACCCAAAAAGUCAAAAUAAUAGGCCGGAUUGAAGUAUAGAUGAUCACGUUUAAGUUAAUAAAUAAAAGUAGUACAAACCAACAUUAGUGUUAGAUUUCAUAAGUGUUACAAAACUAAUACCAUAAAUCCUAAACUUCUUACUACCCAACGUUAAGCUCCAAACCUAUUACUUUUAACAUACCAAAGGGUUCAUUUACGUAAUUAACUCCUACAUUUAUUUACUUCUGUUUGUUUUAUUAUGUCCUAAUGUUAUUCUUGUUUUAAAAUAAGUGGGUGUUUGGGAUUCCUUUUGAAAAUGACUCUUGGAGCUAAUUUUAACUUAUUAACUUCUUAGAAGUUAAAAGAAAUCCCAAACAUCAUAUCAUCUGAGGACUUUUGAAGUCAAAAGGAAUCCCAAACACCCCUUGAAAAGGACUUUUAUG